GAUGAACGCUGGCGGCGUGCUUAACACAUGCAAGUCGAACGGUGAAGGCGGAGCUUGCUCUGCUGGAUCAGUGGCGAACGGGUGAGUAACACGUGAGCAAUCUGCCCCUGACUCUGGGAUAAGCGCUGGAAACGGCGUCUAAUACUGGAUACGAGCUGCGAAGGCAUCUUCAGCAGCUGGAAAGAAUUUCGGUCAGGGAUGAGCUCGCGGCCUAUCAGCUUGUUGGUGAGGUAAUGGCUCACCAAGGCGUCGACGGGUAGCCGGCCUGAGAGGGUGACCGGCCACACUGGGACUGAGACACGGCCCAGACUCCUACGGGAGGCAGCAGUGGGGAAUAUUGCACAAUGGGCGAAAGCCUGAUGCAGCAACGCCGCGUGAGGGACGACGGCCUUCGGGUUGUAAACCUCUUUUGGCAGGGAAGAAGCGAGAGUGACGGUACCUGCAGAAGAAGCGCCGGCUAACUACGUG
This 468-nucleotide ribosomal RNA is filed under the name uncultured bacterium. Its description in RNAcentral is "partial 16S ribosomal RNA". It matches the Rfam family "Bacterial small subunit ribosomal RNA", at positions 28 to 507 of the family's 1533-position model. The record is from RNAcentral.